RNAcentral lists this transfer RNA (89 nucleotides) under Sphingobacteriales bacterium TSM_CSM. Its description in RNAcentral is "tRNA-Ser". It matches the Rfam family "tRNA". From Rfam's summary of the family: Transfer RNA (tRNA) molecules are approximately 80 nucleotides in length. Their secondary structure includes four short double-helical elements and three loops (D, anti-codon, and T loops). Further hydrogen bonds mediate the characteristic L-shaped molecular structure. tRNAs have two regions of fundamental functional importance: the anti-codon, which is responsible for specific mRNA codon recognition, and the 3' end, to which the tRNAs corresponding amino acid is attached (by aminoacyl-tRNA synthetases). tRNAs cope with the degeneracy of the genetic code in two manners: having more than one tRNA (with a specific anti-codon) for a particular amino acid; and 'wobble' base-pairing, i.e. permitting non-standard base-pairing at the 3rd anti-codon position. RNAcentral also lists the same sequence under 2 other names. The record is from RNAcentral. Lineage: Bacteria; Pseudomonadati; Bacteroidota; Sphingobacteriia; Sphingobacteriales.
GGAAAGGUGCCGGAGCGGUUGAACGGGCCUGACUCGAAAUCAGGUGUACUUAGAAAUAGGUACCGGGGGUUCGAAUCCCUCCCUUUCCG